GGAUGCGAUCAUACCAGCACUAAAGCACCGGAUCCCAUCAUAACUUCGAGGUUAAGCGUGCUUGGGCGAGAGUAGUACUAGGAUGGGUGACCUCCUGGGAAGUCCUCGUGUUGCAUCCC
Oryza sativa Indica Group (long-grained rice) is the source of this 119-nucleotide ribosomal RNA. NCBI's taxonomy places the organism in Eukaryota, Viridiplantae, Streptophyta, Magnoliopsida, Poales, Poaceae. The record is from Rfam.